AUACGAAGGUCCCGAGCGUUACUCGGAAUCACUGGGCGUAAAGAGUAUGUAGGCGGUUUGGUAAGUCAGGUGUGAAAUCCCGGAGCUCAACUUCGGAACUGCAUCCGAUACUGCCAGACUAGAGUAAUGGAGAGGCAGGUGGAAUUCUCGGUGUAGCAGUGAAAUGCGUGGAUAUCGAGAGGAAGACCAAUGGCGAAGGCAGCCUGCUGGACAUUUACUGACGCUGAGAUACGAAGGCUAGGGGAGCGAAAGGGAUUAGAAACCCUAGUAGUCC
Molecule: ribosomal RNA, 274 nt
Filed under: uncultured bacterium
Lineage: Bacteria
Description: partial 16S ribosomal RNA
Rfam family: Bacterial small subunit ribosomal RNA
Source: RNAcentral